AGCAACCGCGGUAAUUCCAGCUCCAAUAGCGUAUAUUAAAGUUGUUGCAGUUAAAAAGCUCGUAGUUGAAUUUCGGGAUCAUCAGGUUGGUCGUGCCUCCGGUAUGUACUUGCUUCGGUGGACCCUCCUUCUUGAAGAACCGUAAUGCCAUUAAUUUGGUGUUGCGGGGAAACAGGACUGUUACUUUGAAAAAAUUAGAGUGUUUAAAGCAGGCAAUCGCUUGAAUACAUUAGCAUGGAAUAAUGAAAUAGGACGUUCGAUCCUAUUUUGUUGGUUUCUAGGAUUGACGUAAUGAUUAAUAGGGAUAGUUGGGGGCAUUAGUAUUCAAUUGUCAGAGGUGAAAUUCUUGGAUUUAUUGAAGACUAACUACUGCGAAAGCAUUUGCCAAGGAUGUUUUCAUUAAUCAAGAACGAAAGUUAGGGGAUCGAAGACGAUCAGAUACCGUCGUAGUCUUAACCAUAAACUAUGCCGACUAGGGAUCGGAUGAUGUUAAUUUUUAAUGACUCAUUCGGCGCCUUAC
Molecule: ribosomal RNA, 520 nt
Filed under: uncultured Glomus
Lineage: Eukaryota; Fungi; Glomeromycota; Glomeromycetes; Glomerales; Glomeraceae
Description: SSU rRNA
Rfam family: Eukaryotic small subunit ribosomal RNA
Source: RNAcentral